GCCUGAGAAAUGGCCACUACGUCUAAGGAUGGCAGCAGGCGCGCAAAUUACCCACUCUCGGCAAGAGGAGGUAGUGACGAGAAAUAACGAGGCCGUUCUCACAAGAGGCCGGUCAUCGGAAUGGGUACAAUUUAAACCCUUGGCACGAGUAUCUAUGAGAGGGCAAGUCUGGUGCCAGCAGCCGCGGUAAUUCCAGCUCUCAAAAUGCAUAGAACCAUUGCUGCGGUUAAAAAGCUCGUAGUUGGAUCUGCGCCGGCGGGCGAGUCCCCCCUCACCGGGGCGGCACCCGUUCCCGCCGGCUAGUGACGGUGCCGGCCGGGGUGGUGGCCUAACCAUGGCCCCACACUGCCGCCUGUCGUUUUACUUUGAACAAAUCAGAGUGCUCAGCACAGGCGUCUCGCCUGAAUGUUCGUGCAUGGAAUAAUAGAAGGGGAUUUCGGUCCUAUUUUAUUGGUUUUGAGCAGCCGAGAUAAUGGUUAACAGAGACAAACGGGGGCAUUCGUAUUGCUGCGUGAGAGGUGAAAUUCUUGGACCGCAGCAAGACGGACAACAGCGAAAGCAUUUGCCAAGAAUGUCUUCAUUAAUCAAGAACGAAAGUCAGAGGUUCGAAGGCGAUCAGAUACCGCCCUAGUUCUGACCGUAAACGAUGCCAACUAGCGAUCCGCCGGCGGAUUCCAAACGCCCUGGUGGGGAGCUUCCCGGAAACGAUUAAGUUUUCCGGUUCCGGGGGAAGUAUGGUUGCAAAGCUGAAACUUAAAGGAAUUGACGGAAGGGCACCACCAGGAGUGGAGCCUGCGGCUUAAUUUGACUCAGCACGGGGAAACUCACCCGGCCCGGACACCGCGAGGAUUGACAGAUUGAUAGCUCUUUCAUGAUUCGGUGGAUGGUGGUGCAUGGCCGUUCUUAGUUCGUGGAGUGAUUUGUCUGGUUUAUUCCGAUAACGAGCGAGACUCUAGCCUACUAACUAGUCCGCAUGCUCCCCAGUGGAGGCAUGUCCCUUCAAUGGACUUCUUAGAGGGAUUUUCGGCGUUUCAGCCGCACGAAACUGAGCAAUAACAGGUCUGUGAUGCCCUUAGAUGUCCAGGGCUGCACGCGCGCUACACUGGCGAAAUCAGCGUGCCUGUCCUCUCGCGAAAGCGACUGGUAAACCGGUGAAAAUUUGCCGUGAUUGGGAUCGGAAAUUGCAAUUAUUUUCCGUGAACGAGGAAUUCCAAGUAAGUGCGAGUCAUCAACUCGCGUUGAUUACGUCCCUGCCCUUUGUACACACC
Molecule: ribosomal RNA, 1268 nt
Filed under: Labrys chinensis
Lineage: Eukaryota; Metazoa; Nematoda; Chromadorea; Rhabditida; Tylenchidae
Description: SSU rRNA
Rfam family: Eukaryotic small subunit ribosomal RNA
Source: RNAcentral